Molecule: ribosomal RNA, 253 nt
Filed under: uncultured bacterium
Lineage: Bacteria
Description: partial 16S ribosomal RNA
Rfam family: Bacterial small subunit ribosomal RNA
Source: RNAcentral
UACGAAGGGGGCUAGCGUUGUUCGGAAUCACUGGGCGUAAAGCGCGCGUAGGCGGAUUGUUAAGUCGGGGGUGAAAUCCCGAGGCUCAACCUCGGAACUGCCUUCGAUACUGGUAAUCUUGAGUCCGGGAGAGGUGAGUGGAACUCCUAGUGUAGAGGUGAAAUUCGUAGAUAUUCGCAAGAACACCAGUGGCGAAGGCGGCUCACUGGCCCGGUACUGACACUGAGGUGCGAAAGCGUGGGGAGCAAACAGG